GGUGAGUGUGGUGGUGCAUUGCCUGUAGUCCCAGCUACUCAGGAGGCUGAGGUGGGAGGAUCGCUUGAGCCCAGGAGUUCUGGACUGUAGUGCACUAUGCCAAUCAGGUGUCCGCACUAAUCUGGCAUCAAUAUGGUGACCUCCCGGGAGCGGGGGACCACCAGGUUGCCUCCGGAGGAGUGAACCGGCCCAGGUCGGAAACGGAGCCAGUCAAAACUCCUGUGAUGAUCAGUGGGAUCACGCCUGUGAAUAGCUGCUGCACUCCAGUCUGGGCGACAUAGCGAGGUCCCGUCUCU
RNAcentral lists this signal recognition particle RNA (296 nucleotides) under Cebus imitator (Panamanian white-faced capuchin). RNAcentral describes it as "Metazoan signal recognition particle RNA (ENSCCAG00000003859.1)". It matches the Rfam family "Metazoan signal recognition particle RNA". From Rfam's summary of the family: The signal recognition particle (SRP) is a universally conserved ribonucleoprotein. It is involved in the co-translational targeting of proteins to membranes. The record is from RNAcentral. Lineage: Eukaryota; Metazoa; Chordata; Mammalia; Primates; Cebidae.